Molecule: long non-coding RNA, 1111 nt
Filed under: Olea europaea subsp. europaea
Lineage: Eukaryota; Viridiplantae; Streptophyta; Magnoliopsida; Lamiales; Oleaceae
Source: RNAcentral
ACAACAUUCAUAAUUCCAUGGUGUUCAAUUUUUGGAGAGAGAAAAAUAGAGAGAGAAAAUUGUUUUUCUUGAAUUUUCAACUGUUCGGUUCAAGAAUUGGUUUUUGAUUUAAUUAAAAGAAGGUGCCCACCCACCGGUGCAAUCUUGACUUUGGAGAAUGCCACAGAAGACUUGGAGGUUGGAAGCAUCAAGUUCUUGGAAUUAAAAAGCUGGAAGUUCGUGAUCCAAAAGGCUGGAAAUUCGUGAUUCAGAAUUAAUUUAAGAAUUGAUCGUCGAAUUUAGGUAAAAAUUCGAAUUCAUUAUUUUUGAUAUAAUAUGCACGUGAACAUCUAGAAGAUUUUGUUUUUGAAUUAAAGAAAUUUUUAAUUUCUGACUAAUUCCGCUUCCGCAUUCCAACAUUUAGAAAUUUGAAUAUGGGUGCUCUUUCUUAUGGCCAGAAAUCUCAAUCCUUAUUUUCACGUUCUUACUGUGACCAGAGAUCCCAGCCAACGUCUUCUUCUCCAACUCGCUGUGUUGUUGAAACGAUUUUUUCCAAUGAUUUUGGUAUAAAGUUCAUUAUUUUUACCUAAUUUUUUUUGUUGUGGGUUCAGAAAUCUGAUUACCGGUGUUUUUCUAUGACCAUAAACCCCAGUUGACAUCUUCCUCUCGGUGACACUACUUUGUCUACGCAGUUUUUUUUCUUUUUUUUUGGCUGAAAACCCGUAGCUGCUACCUUCGAGUGCAUAUUGGAUAAAUUCUCGAGUUGACACAAUAGCCUGUAAGCUACGCCAGUCAGGUAAAUCGUACUAGGCAAGUCCUGGGCGACAAGUUCGACCACUAAAGUAUUGAUAGGGAGAAUCGAAUUCGUGACUAAAAGUUUUCGCACUCACCUACUCCACAAACUCGACUACCCUCAUGAGAGGCUGUCUAUGCAAUUUUAUUUUGGUCAAUUUGUGGUGUAAAGCUUAUGUUUGUUUCCUUUUUACAAUGGGUUGAGAAAUAUGAAUAUAAGACUUCGUAAAGUUUUAUUGCGCGAUAUUGACAUUUUUAUUAUUGGAUAAAAAAAAUUAUGUCUUUCACUUCUCUUUAUUUUCCAUAUCUUGAUCUAGGUUCUUUAUCUCUUAUACAGUGA